Molecule: long non-coding RNA, 200 nt
Filed under: Lathyrus oleraceus (garden pea)
Lineage: Eukaryota; Viridiplantae; Streptophyta; Magnoliopsida; Fabales; Fabaceae
Description: Pisum sativum (pea) long non-coding RNA (PSAT_LNC004796)
Source: RNAcentral
UUGGGGUGAGUAAAAGAUAAGUUGGGGAGAACGAAAAUGAGAAUCAGUAGGUGCCAUAACUCUUGAAUAACCGAGCAAGCAUUGAAAAAAAAAUUAGAAAAGAGAAACAUCUGUUUUGUGAAUACGAUGUGAAAAAAAAAAGAAAAUGAAAAUAAAUGCUUGCUUGGAAGAAAAAUAGUGAAAAACAAAAUUGAGUUGUG